AGUAGAUCAAUUGAAACUAUUGAUCGAAGCAUAUUAUGGAAGAAAGUAAGGGAAAAAAAGGAUGACACCUUUGAUGAAGUGGCCAUACCAGUAAUUGAGAAAAUAGACAAGCUAUUGAAAGAGUCUCAAGAGAAUGGUAGAAGUGUUAGUGGAAGUAAUGAUAUACUUGUGGAAGCAUUGGGUACUCCUGAGUAUAGUGGUCAAGUUAGGGCCAAAGGGAAGCACUACACACCUUGCCAAUAUUUCAAUAGUGCUGCAGAUCGUGCUGUCAGGGAUUUCAUAGCAGCAUCUAAAGAAGAAUAAAGAAUAUUUCAGGCAGAAGUGCUAGCAAAACUGUCUCAAGUAGGAGCUGUUACUCCCCAAUCUGAUGUUAGCAGUUCAAGCAUGAAGCAAAAACAACUUCUCCUACCAAAAGCAGUGGAUAAGCCAAUCCGUAAAGUUGAAGAUGUGACCCCACCAGAAGCAAUAGAACCACAGAAGAAGGUUAGAAAAUGUGAGCUGGCCAUAGGCACCAAGGAAAAUAUAGUGGGAGGUGGAACAAUUAUACUUGAAUGUGGUCCCAACUAUUUAGUAGUUGUUGAUGCUCCUUAUGAUUCAAGUGCACCCCUUCCCAUUCCUAUUCCUGGACAAACUACUACUGUUGGGGCUGCAAUUGGUUACCAAGUUUUGUGGCCAACUGAUUUGGUCAUCAUCCGUACUCCCAUCUUAGCAUCUAAGAAAGCAAAGAAACAAAAAGUAAAUGAAGUUGAAGUCAAAUCCAAGGGUGAAAAACCACAAGAUAUGAAAAUUUUUGAGACAUUGGUUGGCCUCAUGCUGAGUACAUCAAGAACACACCCUAUAAACUUCCCAGAUGAUGUUUUUGGUUAGAGUUUCAAGACCUUCAUGAUGAAAGAAGAUAUGGAAAUGAUAAUAUCAUCAAAAGAAGUGUCAUCCAAUUGUAUUUUAUACUACAUCUGGCAUUUGCAUAGAAAGUUGAUUGAUGCAAAGUAGGCCGAACGAUAUGUUUUUGUCAAUCCAGCAUUGGUCUCAAAAGCUGGAAUGGGAGAGGGAAGCAAGGAAAACAGGUCAAGGGUUAUUGCAGAUCGACUAAAGAAUACAAAGCAUGCUGAAUAUAUGCUUAUUCCAUACAACCCAGAUUUCCAUUGGGUGUUAGUGGCAUUGGAGAUGAAGAAAAUGAUUGCAUAUUACCUUGAUCCAAUGGCCUGUCAACCAUGUGAUGAUCUUAAGGACAUAGUUAACAUGGCAAUGAGAAUCAACCCACCGGAAAAACAGAAAACAUCAAAGAGGGAGCCAACUUGGGUGAAAGUGGUUGUAAGUACUUAUUUGUUUAGAUUAAAAUAUAUUGCUUCACCACUUAAUUUAUGACAAAAUUAGAAAAUGGAUGGUUAUUAAUAUGAUCAUCAAUAAGAUGCUAAAGAAGUAAGAACAUCAUUCUAGUGUUUAUUGCAAUUGUUGAUACUUUUCCCAUAGUGCCCAAGACAACCAGGUAGUGUGGAAUGUGGGUAUUACGUGAUGAGAUAUAUGAAGGAAAUUAUUGCUAAUCCAAACCAACUAACAUCAAAGUUGGCAGUGUUUUCAAUAUGGAUCAUUUUGGGGGUUGCUCUAUUAUGAUUGAUGUAUAGUUGGCAUAUUGAGAGGUGAAGCCAAGUAGACAUGGUUGUACAAAAAGGCAUAGGUCAUUCUAUUAACAACGUCACUACUGCUCUUGAUGAAGGACACCCACAAACAAUUCAAAAUAUAUCAUCAAAAGAAUUUUGAGAUUGAGCAUCUAGAAAGUGAGUUACAACUAUCCUUUUUCACUUGGAAGAAAAAUGAUGUAAAACUAGAUGUAGUGAAGGUUAUGAACAAUUCAAAGUUGAAGAAGAAGUUGUAAAAUUGUUGGUUUUAGUUGUUGAUUAUGUAUGAUGUUUAUGGAUAAAUUGUAAUAGUGAAAAAGGAAGACCAUAUUUGAUACUUUUUGUCAAUGGAGAUUCUUAAAUUAAGUUUUCAUUAUUAAUUUAA
Molecule: long non-coding RNA, 2001 nt
Organism: Vitis vinifera (wine grape)
Lineage: Eukaryota; Viridiplantae; Streptophyta; Magnoliopsida; Vitales; Vitaceae
Exons: 10
Source: RefSeq, a predicted model, not a curated record